This 438-nucleotide ribosomal RNA is filed under the name Triticum aestivum (bread wheat). Its description in RNAcentral is "partial small subunit ribosomal RNA". Lineage: Eukaryota; Viridiplantae; Streptophyta; Magnoliopsida; Poales; Poaceae. The record is from RNAcentral.
AUGGCUUCCAUUUAUGGGACAACUGGGGUUAAGGGGCUGAAUGCUAGGUCUAACAAUGAUCUUGUUUCUAUUGGUCACAAAGAUGAGGAGAAUGGUGAGGUGAACACGUCACCAAAUGUUGUCGAGUCUUCUCACCCCAAAGCACCACCCAAAAGGAAGGCCAAGGUAUAGCACAUUGUUGAUGAUCUACUAGUUAUCACUCUCAAAGAUGGGUUCAAACUUGUGGCUGAAGAACUUGUGAAGUCUAGUGGAGAUGAUGAUGAUAUACCCGAUGUCCUUUGGGACAAAGUCUCCACAUUGCCAGAUUUUGAUGAAGAGCACCUAACCCACUACUAUGCUCAUCUUGUGGACAACCCCAAGACUACAAGAGCCUUCAUGAAACUUUCCCAAACCAACAAGGUUGUUUGGGUGAGUAGGUAUGUGAAGAAGAACUUCUAA